Molecule: ribosomal RNA, 586 nt
Filed under: uncultured bacterium
Lineage: Bacteria
Description: bacterial SSU rRNA
Rfam family: Bacterial small subunit ribosomal RNA
Source: RNAcentral
CCUACGGGAGGCAGCAGUGGGGAAUCUUGCGCAAUGGGCGGAAGCCUGACGCAGCAACGCCGCGUGCGGGAAGAAGGCCUUAGGGUCGUAAACCGCUUUCAGGGGGGACGAAGCUUCCGGGGUUAAUAGCCUACGGGGUGACGGUACUCCCAAAAGAAGGUCCGGCUAACUACGUGCCAGCAGCCGCGGUAAUACGUAGGGACCGAGCGUUGUCCGGAAUCAUUGGGCGUAAAGAGCGUGUAGGCGGCUUGGUAGGUCCCGUGUGAAAUCCCGCGGCUCAACCGCGGAUCCGCACGGGAAACCCCUAAGCUCGAGUCCGGAAGAGGAGAGUGGAAUUCCUGGUGUAGCGGUGAAAUGCGCAGAUAUCAGGAAGAACACCCGUAGCGAAGGCGGCUCUCUGGGACGGUACUGACGCUGAGACGCGAAAGCGUGGGGAGCAAACAGGAUUAGAUACCCUGGUAGUCCACGCCGUAAACGAUGGGCGCUAGGUGUGGGAGGUGUCGACUCCUCCCGUGCCGAAGCUAACGCAUUAAGCGCCCCGCCUGGGGAGUACGGCCGCAAGGCUAAAACUCAAAGGAAUUGACGG